CUUUUUCUUAUGCCAGUUAUAUCUUUCCAGAUAAGCCAUUUAGAAGCCCUUUCGGCGUUUCCUGCAUCAAGUCCCUUAAACACCUCUCCUUGUCAUUUGUAAACAUAACCGGUGAACUUGUUGAGCACUUUCUAUCCAAUUGUGAACUCCUUGAGCAUCUUUGCGUUUCUUGCUCGGAUCAAUUAGUAACUUUGAAAGUUGCCGGUUCGUCACUCCGGUUGAAGUUCCUACAAAUAAGUGACUGUAUGUAUUUAGAAAAAAUUGAGAUUUGUGCUCCUAAUCUCGUGUCAUUUAUUUAUCACGGAAUGCUGGGUUUCUAUGACAGUAUUCGUUUGAGGCAUGCACCCUUGCUUGUAAAUGUAUCACUUGCAGAAAGUACUAGGUCUAUAGUUCCAACUUUUCUUUCGGUUAAAAGUUGUCUUCCUCAGCUGGUGACUCUCAAUCUCAACUUGCACAUGAAUCUGAAUAUGGUCAGUAUAUGAAAUAAUUCAGUAUUUAUUAUUAUUAUUAUUAUUAUUAUAUAUAUAUAUAUAUAUAGACUUUAUUUUCAAAAUUUGCUUUUCAUCUGUCAGAGUGCAAUGGUGAGGCACCCAGAAUUUCCAGAAUUAACUUGUCUCAAGGACUUAACAUUGAAUGUUGUCGCAAGUGAUCGGCAAAGCCUCCUUAAUUUGACUAAAUUGAUAGAGCGGUCUCCUUUCUUGCAUAGAUUUACAUUGGAUGUAAAUUUAUUUUCAGCAUGUCUUACAAUUUAAAGUUGGGAAGUUUAUUUAAUGGUUUCAGAAAGGUUUUUGUUGAUUCAUGUUUAUGCACACAAACUUCUAAAAGUUGUAUUGUUUUUCUGUGGUUUUUGAAACUUGUAUAUGUGAAAUUAACUUGUCUAAGGUAGAUUGAUAAGCUAUUGUUUUUGUCCUUGUGCAGCUAAGAUGGGCACGAGUGCCAUGUCUGAGGAAUUUGCAGAAGGUUAAUAAAUGUCCUCAUCAGUGCCUUAAGGUGGUGAAAUUUUCUGGGUUCGUUGGGUCUAGUAUCGACACUGAGCUUGCCAUGUACUUCACUGAGAAUGCCGUUGCGCUUGAAACGUUUCUCGUCGAUCUCAGAAAGGUUGUCGUUGAAGAAUCCACUCUGUUGUCUGAAUUUGUUACAACCCAGAAACAAUUGAGGGCAGCAAGAAAGCGUGCUUUGCAGAUAGGUAAAAAACUACCUCCAGGAACUGAGUUAAUUGUUUUGUAAUUUCACUUGUUUAAUCCUCUUUGCUACAGACGUGAUACACUUUUUGCAGCAUGUAAUUUGCUACUAUUUAUUUCUGACAUUUUCCGAAAUUGAAAUAAUGUUUGUGUGGUGAACAAGGAUGGCAGUUUAGGUACUUGAUUGAUUUCUUCCAAUAUGUAGAUUCUUGAAUGAGUUGGAGACAAAAUGAAGAAGGACAUGUGAUUCGCAU
Molecule: long non-coding RNA, 1435 nt
Filed under: Prunus dulcis (almond)
Lineage: Eukaryota; Viridiplantae; Streptophyta; Magnoliopsida; Rosales; Rosaceae
Description: sRNA ncRNA
Source: RNAcentral